UACAGAGGGGGCAAGCGUUGUUCGGAAUUAUUGGGCGUAAAGCGCACGUAGGCGGCUUGGCAAGUCGGAUGUGAAAUCCCUCGGCUCAACCAAGGAAGUGCAUCCGAAACUGCUAAGCUUGAGUACUUAAGAGGAUCGCGGAAUUCCCGGUGUAGAGGUGAAAUUCGUAGAUAUCGGGAGGAACACCAGUGGCGAAGGCGGCGAUCUGGGAAGAUACUGACGCUGAGGUGCGAAAGCGUGGGGAGCAAACAGG
This 253-nucleotide ribosomal RNA is filed under the name uncultured bacterium. RNAcentral describes it as "partial 16S ribosomal RNA". It matches the Rfam family "Bacterial small subunit ribosomal RNA", at positions 524 to 776 of the family's 1533-position model. The record is from RNAcentral.